AACGCGAAGAACCUUACCGAGGCUUGACAUCCCGCGAAAUCCCAUGAAAGUGGGCUUCCCCGCAAGGGGACGCGGAGACAGGUGCUGCAUGGCUGUCGUCAGCUCGUGCCGUGAGGUGUUGGGUUAAGUCCCGCAACGAGCGCAACCCUCGUCGUGUGUUGGUCCGCAAGGAUCUCUCACGCGAGACCGCCGAUGAGAAGUCGGAGGAAGGUGGGGAUGACGUCAAGUCAGCAUGGCCCUUACGUCUCGGGCUACACACGUGCUACAAUGGGUAGGACAACGGGCUGCGAGCUAGUGAUAGUAAGCUAAUCCCUUAAACCUGCCCUCAGUUCGGAUUGAAGGCUGCAACUCGCCUUCAUGAAGUCGGAAUCGCUAGUAAACGCAGAUCAGCUACGCUGCGUUGAAUACGUUCCCGGGCCUUGUACACACCGCUACAGU
This 438-nucleotide ribosomal RNA is filed under the name uncultured bacterium. Its description in RNAcentral is "bacterial SSU rRNA". It matches the Rfam family "Bacterial small subunit ribosomal RNA", at positions 958 to 1401 of the family's 1533-position model. The record is from RNAcentral.